RNAcentral lists this unclassified non-coding RNA (404 nucleotides) under soil metagenome. Its description in RNAcentral is "partial contains 5.8S ribosomal RNA, internal transcribed spacer 2, and large subunit ribosomal RNA". The stretch from base 1 to 122 matches the Rfam family "5.8S ribosomal RNA", at positions 35 to 154 of the family's 154-position model. The record is from RNAcentral.
GAUGAAGAACGUAGCAAAAUGCGAUACUUGGUGUGAAUUGCAGAAUCCCGUGAACCAUCGAGUUUUUGAACGCAAGUUGCGCCCGAAGCCUUUUGGCCGAGGGCACGUCUGCCUGGGCGUCACGCAUCGCGUCGCCCCCCACAAUUCUCCGAAAAGGGAACAUGUGUUUUGGGGGCGGAUAUUGGUCUCCCGUGCUCAUGGCGUGGUUGGCCGAAAUAGGAGUCCUUUCGAUGGACGCACGAACUAGUGGUGGUCGUAAAAACCCUCGUCUUUUGUUUCGUGCUGUUGCUCGCAAGGUAAACUCUUUAAAAACCCCAAUGUGUCGUCUCUUGACGACGCUUCGACCGCGACCCCAGGUCAGGCGGGACUACCCGCUGAGUUUAAGCAUAUCAAUAAGCGGAGGA